Molecule: long non-coding RNA, 618 nt
Organism: Rhipicephalus microplus (southern cattle tick)
Lineage: Eukaryota; Metazoa; Arthropoda; Arachnida; Ixodida; Ixodidae
Source: RefSeq, a predicted model, not a curated record
ACGCGAACGCGGUAGUGGCGGCGUUCGGUGGCGGUAGCGCGCGGGCCGAUCGUAGCGCUCACAAGCGGGGAAUCCGGAAGUUUCUGGAAUCUGGCAACAUCGCUCGCGGCUUUCUCUUUGCGAGGGUGUUCUCCAACGUAGCUGGUCACUGGAGAAUGUUUCUAUCGAAAGCCAGCCGCUACGCCUUCAGGAUUUCCCACAAUGUCUACUUUGACAACCAGCUGAAAACGGGAAAGGACCGUGUCGUGUCAUCGUCGGCAUUUGCACUGUCGACUGUGGGCAUUCUGCUGUCUGCCUUCGGCCUUCGACAGAUGGGUCACAACCAGAAAUGGAUCGAGCGCGGCUGACGACACUGACAUGACUCUAGUCUAAACAAUUUUCCCUCCCCACCCUUAGGCGAUGCAGCCCUUCCCCUGCACGUUGCUUCAGCAGUGGAGCUAAGCAUGAAUUAUUACGCCAUCAUCUCAUUGACUGUCAAGGACUUCUUGUGCUCGCUGUUGUAGCAUCUAUUGCAUCAAAGUAUCCAACGUGCUGUAUUGUUGACCGAAAUGAUCUGUUCAAACGUUACAAUCAGUAAUGUUAGAUUUAUGUCAAAUAAACCCUCGUCUCUCAAGUUAA